This 919-nucleotide ribosomal RNA is filed under the name uncultured Flavobacteriaceae bacterium. Its description in RNAcentral is "bacterial SSU rRNA". It matches the Rfam family "Bacterial small subunit ribosomal RNA", at positions 48 to 973 of the family's 1533-position model. Lineage: Bacteria; Pseudomonadati; Bacteroidota; Flavobacteriia; Flavobacteriales; Flavobacteriaceae. The record is from RNAcentral.
CUUACACAUGCAAGUCGAGGGGUAUAGUUCUUCGGAAUUAGAGACCGGCGCACGGGUGCGUAACGCGUAUGCAAUCUACCUUUCACAGAGGGAUAGCCCAGAGAAAUUUGGAUUAAUACCUCAUAGUAUUAUGAUAUGGCAUCAUAUUAUAAUUAAAGUCACAACGGUGAAAGAUGAGCAUGCGUCCCAUUAGCUAGUUGGUAAGGUAACGGCUUACCAAGGCGACGAUGGGUAGGGGUCCUGAGAGGGAGAUCCCCCACACUGGUACUGAGACACGGACCAGACUCCUACGGGAGGCAGCAGUGAGGAAUAUUGGACAAUGGGCGCAAGCCUGAUCCAGCCAUGCCGCGUGCAGGAUGACGGUCCUAUGGAUUGUAAACUGCUUUUGCACAGGAAGAAACAACGCUACGUGUAGCGUCUUGACGGUACUGUGAGAAUAAGGAUCGGCUAACUCCGUGCCAGCAGCCGCGGUAAUACGGAGGAUCCAAGCGUUAUCCGGAAUCAUUGGGUUUAAAGGGUCCGUAGGCGGUUUAGUAAGUCAGUGGUGAAAGCCCAUCGCUCAACGGUGGAACGGCCAUUGAUACUGCUAGACUUGAAUUAUUAGGAAGUAACUAGAAUAUGUAGUGUAGCGGUGAAAUGCUUAGAGAUUACAUGGAAUACCAAUUGCGAAGGCAGGUUACUACUAAUGGAUUGACGCUGAUGGACGAAAGCGUGGGUAGCGAACAGGAUUAGAUACCCUGGUAGUCCACGCCGUAAACGAUGGAUACUAGCUGUUGGGAGCGAUCUCAGUGGCUAAGCGAAAGUGAUAAGUAUCCCACCUGGGGAGUACGUUCGCAAGAAUGAAACUCAAAGGAAUUGACGGGGGCCCGCACAAGCGGUGGAGCAUGUGGUUUAAUUCGAUGAUACGCGAGGAACCUUA